UGGGGAAUCUUCCGCAAUGGGCGAAAGCCUGACGGAGCAACGCCGCGUGAGUGAAGAAGGCCUUCGGGUCGUAAAACUCUGUCUUCAGGGAAGAAAAAAAUGACGGUACCUGAGGAGGAAGCCCCGGCUAACUACGUGCCAGCAGCCGCGGUAAAACGUAGGGGGCGAGCGUUGUCCGGAAUUACUGGGCGUAAAGGGCGCGUAGGCGGUCAUUUAAGUCAGAGGUGAAAACUACCGGCUCAACCGGUAGCCUGCCUUUGAAACUGGAUGACUUGAGGGCAGGAGAGGGGAGUGGAAUUCCCAGUGUAGCGGUGAAAUGCGUAGAUAUUGGGAGGAACACCAGUGGCGAAGGCGGCUCUCUGGCCUGUUUCUGACGCUGAGGCGCGAAAGCGUGGGGAGCGAACGGG
RNAcentral lists this ribosomal RNA (407 nucleotides) under uncultured prokaryote. RNAcentral describes it as "bacterial SSU rRNA". It matches the Rfam family "Bacterial small subunit ribosomal RNA", at positions 355 to 776 of the family's 1533-position model. RNAcentral also lists the same sequence under 1 other name. The record is from RNAcentral.